UACGGAGGGUGCAAGCGUUGUUCGGAUUCACUGGGUAUAAAGGGUGCGCAGGCGGCCUGGUAAGUCAGGGGUGAAAUAUGACGGCUCAACCGUCAAACUGCCCCUGAAACUGCCUGGCUUGAGUCCGGGAGAGGAAGGUGGAAUUCCUGGUGUAGCGGUGAAAUGCGUAAAUAUCAGGAGGAAUACCGGUGGCGAAGGCGGCCUUCUGGCCCGGUACUGACGCUCAUGCACGAAAGCCAGGGGAGCGAACGGG
This 253-nucleotide unclassified non-coding RNA is filed under the name uncultured Latescibacterota bacterium. RNAcentral's name for it is "uncultured Latescibacteria bacterium contains 16S-23S intergenic spacer region". It matches the Rfam family "Bacterial small subunit ribosomal RNA", at positions 524 to 776 of the family's 1533-position model. Lineage: Bacteria; Pseudomonadati; Candidatus Latescibacterota. The record is from RNAcentral.